Molecule: unclassified non-coding RNA, 302 nt
Filed under: fungal sp.
Lineage: Eukaryota; Fungi
Description: partial internal transcribed spacer region
Rfam family: Eukaryotic small subunit ribosomal RNA (bases 1-46)
Source: RNAcentral
AAGUCGUAACAAGGUUUCCGUAGGUGAACCUGCGGAAGGAUCAUUAAUGCCCUCAUCUCUUGUGCGAGCGAGCGUAUACGCGCGUCUCGUGCAAGGUCCAAACGCUCGAAACUUUUGUCACGCACAAAAGUUCGACGAACCAAGCAACUUGAGACUUUUUUCUCGGUCCUCAGAUCGAGAGAAUCGUUCUCUACCAUUUUCUUACACCAUAAUUACCCUAUUUUAAACUAUUAGACUGAUAUGAAAAUUACAUUUUCUAUAAAUGUAAAGAACAACUCUUAGCAAUGGAUAUCUAGGCUCUC